RNAcentral lists this ribosomal RNA (1311 nucleotides) under Dicranomyia modesta. RNAcentral describes it as "16S ribosomal RNA". The stretch from base 1065 to 1224 matches the Rfam family "Archaeal large subunit ribosomal RNA", at positions 2542 to 2701 of the family's 2987-position model. Lineage: Eukaryota; Metazoa; Arthropoda; Insecta; Diptera; Limoniidae. The record is from RNAcentral.
AUUAAUUUUUUUUUUUAUUUAUAUUUAAUAAAAAUAAUUUUAAAUUUUAAAUUUUUUGUAUAUUUUAAAGAUAAAAUAAUUUUAAUUAUAGUUUAAUAGUAUUGUAAAAGAAUAUUGAAAUAAUUUUAAAAAUAAUUAUUGAAAAAGAAAAUUUAAUUUAUUGUACCUUGUGUAUCAGUGUUUAUUAAAUAAAAAAUUUUUAUAAAAUUUUUCUCGAAUUUAAAAGAUCUAAUUAAUUAUUUUAGUUAAUGUGGCAUAAUUAUUAAUAAUAAUUAAUUAGAAAUGAAAUGUUAUACGUUUUUAAAUAUAUCUAGUUUUUUAAGAAAUAAAUUUAAUUUAGAUAUUAUUAAUGUAUUAUUUUAAUUUAAUUAAGAUAAUAUUUAUUAAUAUUAAUAUUUUAAGGGAUAAGCUUUAAAAUAAAUUAUUAUAAAAAAUAAAAUUAUUAAAAUAAUUGUAAGCUUAGAAAUAGUUAUCAAUAAAUAUUAUGUUAUAAUUAAUUUAUAUAUUUUAUAUAAUUUAUUAUUUUUUUUAAGUUUUUAUUAAAAUAUUUAUUUUAAUAUAAAAAAUUAAGUAAUAAUGAUAAAAUUAGUAUAAAAUUAAUUUAAAAAUAAAAAUUUUUGAAAGGUUUUUAUAAUUAAUUCGGCAAAAUAAAUAUUCGCCUGUUUAUCAAAAACAUGUCUUUUUGAAUUUAAUUUAAAGUCUAGCCUGCCCACUGAAUGAAUAUUUAAAGGGCCGCGGUAUUUUGACUGUGCAAAGGUAGCAUAAUCAUUAGUUUUUUAAUUGAAAGCUUGUAUGAAAGGUUGGACGAAAUAUUUUCUGUCUCAUAAAAAUUUAUAUUAGAAAUUAAUUUUUUUGUUAAAAAGCAAAAAUAAAAUUAGAGGACGAGAAGACCCUAUAGAGCUUUAUAUUUUUAUUAUUUAAUUUUUAUAGAUAAUUUUGAAUUUUAUAAAAAAAAGUAUUUUGUUGGGGUGACAAUAAGAUUUAAUUAACUUUUAUUAUUUUAUUACAUUGAUUUAUGAAUAUUUGAUCCAUUAUUAAUGAUUAAAAAAUUAAGUUACCUUAGGGAUAACAGCGUAAUUUUUUUUAAGAGUUCAUAUCGACAAAAAAGAUUGCGACCUCGAUGUUGAAUUAAGAAUUAUUUUUAGGUGUAGAAGUUUAAAGUUUAGGUCUGUUCGACCUUUGAAUUCUUACAUGAUUUGAGUUCAGACCGGUGUAAGCCAGGUUGGUUUCUAUCCUUAAUAAAUUAAAAUAUUUUAGUACGAAAGGACCAAAUAUUUAAAAUAUUAAUUUUUUAAUUAAAGAAUAAUAUUA